RNAcentral lists this transfer RNA (135 nucleotides) under Candidatus Thiodiazotropha sp. (ex Monitilora ramsayi). Its description in RNAcentral is "tRNA-OTHER". The record is from RNAcentral. Lineage: Bacteria; Pseudomonadati; Pseudomonadota; Gammaproteobacteria; Chromatiales; Sedimenticolaceae.
GGCCAGAUGAAAGCGGCCAGUUUCUCCGCCUACCGAGACUGGGGGGCUUCGAUUUCCUCAAAGCAGCGUCGAUGCGGCCUUGAUCCGCGACUAAAAAUCCCCGCGUCGGCAGUUCGAUUCUGUCCCUGGUCACCA